Molecule: long non-coding RNA, 1058 nt
Organism: Cynoglossus semilaevis (tongue sole)
Lineage: Eukaryota; Metazoa; Chordata; Actinopteri; Pleuronectiformes; Cynoglossidae
Exons: 2
Source: RefSeq, a predicted model, not a curated record
UAGGGCAACAGAAGUCAACAUAAAUGAUGAAACCUGAAACUUGUUCAGGCAACAGCGUGUUGCAGUAUUCAAUACUUACUCUAACUAAGAUGCUGUUUAAAUGAACCAUUGGUUAUAAAUACGACAGAAGGAAAGCAAUCAUCGAUGUGUGACUAAAAUCAGAAAACAAAAGUUCCUGAGUCUCCUGUCAGGACGGACAGAAAGUAAGAGAAACAGAAAAGGUAGAAAUAAAUGCUAUAGCUGUAAUGAAGAGUGCACCGGCUGUACUGUGAGCCUGAAAAGGCUGGAUGAUUAUAUUACUGACAUGCAAAAUUAAAUUAAAAUUUAAAAUAUGAUUAUUCAUCUGUUGUCACAUUUAUAUAAAACAAAAAUACUGCUUGGAUGUACUGCAUAAUCUCUGAAUACAUUGAAAAAGAAAUAAAAAAGUAAAUAUACUUUUUCUAAAAAAGUUGAAACUAACCACCGAGCAGCUGUGGGUGUUCAUGUGAAAUCCCAAAAACCGUAUAUAAGAAAUGGAUGUUGGUAUCGAUCCACGUGUGGACAAAUGAGGCUACUUCUCCGUCCAACAACACCAUUGAACAUUUUCCUGACACCUUUAGUCUACAAAGUGUUUUUUUUUGGAUUAGAUGAUAAUACGAUCCCUUUUAGAGGAAAACGAACGACUCAGCACUGCAGUCCGGUCUGGUUGGUGUUUUCAUGUUAGCUCCUGAUACCACAUGUAAACACUACCAGCUUCACCUGAAUGUGUAAGCACCAUAAAAAACAAAGACAUCACAAGGUGAGACCACUAAAGAACGCUGGGCUCUAACUUUAAACCCUAGAGUUCACUGUGGGGUCACCGGGUCCAAACAAGUGCACACAUGCUAGCAGCGAGCAUCAUUCUGGAAAACACAAGAACAUGUGACCUGAUGCAAGUCGCAAAGUGACCAGUGAGAAGUAGCCUCAUUUUCACACAUAUUUCCAUUAUAUAGCGUUACUUCAAAAACCAGCGCAAAACCUACGGAUGUAUUUCCAUUCCAGCCAUGUCAGUGACUGGAGGGAAAAAUCUAGGGAUGUCC